UACGUAGGGGCCGAGCGUUGUCCGGAGUUACUGGGCGUAAAGCGCGCGCAGGCGGCUCGUCAAGCCUGACGUGAAAGCCCCCGGCUCAACCGGGGAGGGUCAUUCGAUACUGAUCAACUUGAAGGCAGGAGAGAGAAGUGGAAUUCCCGGUGUAGUGGUGAAAUGCGUAGAUAUCGGGAGGAACACCAGUGGCGAAGGCGACUUCUUGGCCUGUUCUUGACGCUGAGGCGCGAAAGCUGGGGGAGCAAACGGG
This 253-nucleotide ribosomal RNA is filed under the name uncultured bacterium. Its description in RNAcentral is "partial 16S ribosomal RNA". It matches the Rfam family "Bacterial small subunit ribosomal RNA", at positions 524 to 776 of the family's 1533-position model. The record is from RNAcentral.